This 533-nucleotide small RNA is filed under the name Dictyosporium toruloides. RNAcentral describes it as "eukaryotic LSU rRNA". The stretch from base 173 to 326 matches the Rfam family "5.8S ribosomal RNA". Lineage: Eukaryota; Fungi; Ascomycota; Dothideomycetes; Pleosporales; Dictyosporiaceae. The record is from RNAcentral.
AUUACACACUGCGCCAUGUCUGCUAGGUGUUCGCACCGGCAGGCGUAGCCCAGCCAACCCUUGUCUAUCUCUACCAUUCGUGAAUCCCUCGGCAGGGACGCCUGCCGCCGGGACCCCUAAAACCCUUUGUAUUUAAGCAUUAAAACAAUCUGAAUCUAAACAAAAUUAUUACAACUUUCAACAAUGGAUCUCUUGGUUCUGGCAUCGAUGAAGAACGCAGCGAAAUGCGAUAAGUAGUGUGAAUUGCAGACUUUAGUGAAUCAUCGAAUCUUUGAACGCACAUUGCGCCCCUUGGUAUUCCAUUGGGCAUGCCUGUUCGAGCGUCAUUUAACCCCUCAAGCACUGCUUGGUGUUGGGCGUUUGUCUGCGUAACUAACGCGGACUCGCCCCAAAAUAAUUGGCAGCGGCUUGCCGGCCUCUUGCGCAGCACUUUGCGCUCCUUGAGGAUCCGUCGGGCUUGCGUCCAUCAAGAUCACCCCCAUUUUGACCUCGAAUCAGGUAGGGAUACCCGCUGAACUUAAGCAUAUCAAUAA